This 468-nucleotide ribosomal RNA is filed under the name uncultured bacterium. Its description in RNAcentral is "partial 16S ribosomal RNA". It matches the Rfam family "Bacterial small subunit ribosomal RNA", at positions 28 to 507 of the family's 1533-position model. The record is from RNAcentral.
GACGAACGCUGGCGGCGUGCUUAACACAUGCAAGUCGAACGGAAAGGCCCUGCUUUUGUGGGGUGCUCGAGUGGCGAACGGGUGAGUAACACGUGAGUAACCUGCCCUUGACUUUGGGAUAACUUCAGGAAACUGGGGCUAAUACCGGAUAGGAGCUCCUGCUGCAUGGUGGGGGUUGGAAAGUUUCGGCGGUUGGGGAUGGACUCGCGGCUUAUCAGCUUGUUGGUGGGGUAAUGGCUUACCAAGGCUUUGACGGGUAGCCGGCCUGAGAGGGUGACCGGCCACCUUGGGACUGAGAUACGGCCCAGACUCCUACGGGAGGCAGCAGUGGGGAAUAUUGCACAAUGGGCGGAAGCCUGAUGCAGCAACGCCGCGUGCGGGAUGACGGCCUUCGGGUUGUAAACCGCUUUCGCCUGUGACGAAGCGUGAGUGACGGUAAUGGGUAAAGAAGCACCGGCUAACUACGUG